Molecule: ribosomal RNA, 662 nt
Filed under: Escherichia coli
Lineage: Bacteria; Pseudomonadati; Pseudomonadota; Gammaproteobacteria; Enterobacterales; Enterobacteriaceae
Description: partial 23S ribosomal RNA
Rfam family: Bacterial large subunit ribosomal RNA
Source: RNAcentral
GGUUAAGCGACUAAGCGUACACGGUGGAUGCCCUGGCAGUCAGAGGCGAUGAAGGACGUGCUAAUCUGCGAUAAGCGUCGGUAAGGUGAUAUGAACCGUUAUAACCGGCGAUUUCCGAAUGGGGAAACCCAGUGUGAUUCGUCACACUAUCAUUAACUGAAUCCAUAGGUUAAUGAGGCGAACCGGGGGAACUGAAACAUCUAAGUACCCCGAGGAAAAGAAAUCAACCGAGAUUCCCCCAGUAGCGGCGAGCGAACGGGGAGCAGCCCAGAGCCUGAAUCAGUGUGUGUGUUAGUGGAAGCGUCUGGAAAGGCGCGCGAUACAGGGUGACAGCCCCGUACACAAAAAUGCACAUGCUGUGAGCUCGAUGAGUAGGGCGGGACACGUGGUAUCCUGUCUGAAUAUGGGGGGACCAUCCUCCAAGGCUAAAUACUCCUGACUGACCGAUAGUGAACCAGUACCGUGAGGGAAAGGCGAAAAGAACCCCGGCGAGGGGAGUGAAAAAGAACCUGAAACCGUGUACGUACAAGCAGUGGGAGCCUCUUUAUGGGGUGACUGCGUACCUUUUGUAUAAUGGGUCAGCGACUUAUAUUCUGUAGCAAGGUUAACCGAAUAGGGGAGCCGAAGGGAAACCGAGUCUUAACUGGGCGUUAAGUUGCAGG